RNAcentral lists this ribosomal RNA (470 nucleotides) under uncultured Methanosaeta sp. RNAcentral's name for it is "bacterial SSU rRNA". It matches the Rfam family "Archaeal small subunit ribosomal RNA", at positions 871 to 1337 of the family's 1478-position model. The record is from RNAcentral. Lineage: Archaea; Methanobacteriati; Methanobacteriota; Methanomicrobia; Methanotrichales; Methanotrichaceae.
GACGGGGAGCACCACAACGGGUGGAGCCUGACGGUUUAAUUGGAUCAACGCCGGAAAUCUCACCGGGGCGACAGCAAUAUGAAGGUCAGGCUGAAGACCUUACCCGAUUAGCUGAGAGGUGGUGCAUGGCCGUCGUCAGUUCGUACUGUGAAGCAUCCUGUUAAGUCAGGCAACGAGCGAGACCCACGUCCACAGUUGCCAGCAUACCCUCCGGGGUGAUGGGUACACUGUGGAGACCGCCGCUGCUAAAGCGGAGGAAGGAGUGGGCAACGGUAGGUCAGUAUGCCCCGAAUCUCCCGGGCUACACGCGGGCUACAAUGGUUGGUACAAUGGGCAUCUACCCCGAAAGGGGAAGGAAAUCUCUUAAAGCCAAUCGUAGUUCGGAUUGAGGGCUGCAACUCGCCCUCAUGAAGCUGGAAUCCGUAGUAAUCGCGUUUCAACAGAACGCGGUGAAUACGUCCCUGCUCCUU